CGAACGUUACAUGAGUAACAAACU
Molecule: non-coding RNA, 24 nt
Filed under: Arabidopsis thaliana (thale cress)
Lineage: Eukaryota; Viridiplantae; Streptophyta; Magnoliopsida; Brassicales; Brassicaceae
Source: RNAcentral